GACGAACGCUGGCGGCGUGCCUAAUACAUGCAAGUCGAACGAGAGCGACCGGUGCUAGCACUGGUCAAUCUAGUGGCGAACGGGUGAGUAACACGUGGGUAACCUGCCCAUCAGAGGGGGAUAACAUCCGGAAACGGAUGCUAAAACCGCAUAGGUCUUCGAGCCGCAUGGCUUGAAGAGGAAAAGAGGCGCAAGCUUCUGCUGAUGGAUGGACCCGCGGUGCAUUAGCUAGUUGGUGAGGUAACGGCUCACCAAGGCCGUGAUGCAUAGCCGACCUGAGAGGGUGAUCGGCCACAUUGGGACUGAGACACGGCCCAAACUCCUACGGGAGGCAGCAGUAGGGAAUCUUCCGCAAUGGACGCAAGUCUGACGGAGCAACGCCGCGUGAGUGAAGAAGGUGUUCGGAUCGUAAAACUCUGUUGUUAGAGAAGAACAAGUGCUAGAGUAACUGUUAGCGCCUUGACGGUAUCUAACCAGAAAGCCACGGCUAACUACGUG
This 498-nucleotide ribosomal RNA is filed under the name uncultured bacterium. RNAcentral describes it as "partial 16S ribosomal RNA". It matches the Rfam family "Bacterial small subunit ribosomal RNA", at positions 28 to 507 of the family's 1533-position model. The record is from RNAcentral.